CGAGCUGGAGGGGCCCGCGCGUCGGAGGCCCCGCACGCCUUCCCACCCCGCGGGGCCGAGGGAGGGGAGAUGCGGGGGUGUGGCCGUGCGAGGGGGCGCGCGGGCUGGGCGUUCCGGACGUGGGGAGCCCGGCACGACCCUCCUGGCAGUGGGGGACGAGCCAGCCCCGCGCGCUCCUUCAGAUAAAGCCCCCGUGGGAGCGAGGGCGCCCAGGGCCGGGACCGGGCCUGGCUGCACACAAGGCUCCUGCGCCACGCGCCCUGGCCGUGCGCCCUGGGCAGUGCGGGGUCCGCCCGGUCGCUGCCUCCCGCCCCUCUGGGUCAGCGCCACCCUCCGAUCAGGCGCCGCAAAAGCCUGCGUGCGGUGGCCACCACCUUGGUGGUCCCUCCCUUGGAGAUGACGGGCCACUGCCUUUGGCGCUGGACUCUGCUGCCUCCAGGGGCGAUGACCGAAGCGCUCUGUUUCUGAGAGGCCGAGGAGAGUGGCUGCGGUGGUGACGCUGGUUCUCGACCCCCUUGCUUUCCUGGGGAGUGGUCUCUGGCAGGAGCUGGUGGAAGGGCUUGGGUCACCACUAGCAUGGCUAUGACGCCCCCGUGGAUGGCUGGGGUCACCCCGCCCCAGGCCUACUGGAGGUGGGAGAGGGUUCAGGGACAGAGCGCCCAGCGCCAACAAAGGGGCCUUUCUCUGCCGGCUGGGAAGAGGCUGGCCCUUGUUAGGUCAGGACGGGUGUCGUCUGGGCGCCGCCGCGCCCACCCGGGGCUCGGAGAGACCCCGGCCGCCACUGUGCACCAGAGGGGGAGGCGGCCCCUGGCUAAACGGUGCCACCUUCUGCCCCGCGAUGCCGCCAAGAUGCCCGAGAGCGCCUGGAAGUUCCUGGUCUAUCUGGGCUGCUGGAGUUACAGUGCCUACCUGCUCCUGGGCACUGACUACCCCUUCUUCCACGACCCGCCCUCCGUAUUCUAUGGUAGGCCUGGGGGUACCGGGGAGGGGCGACCCCACGUGGGGCCCUGGGGCAGGAAGCCAACCAGGACUCCCGCAUGGGCCAGCGCGGCCGGUCAAGGUAUCAGGACAGCUCAUACCGAGGCCCUGGGGCACUCGCAGGCAGAGGGGGCCACCUCAGCCCCUAGCAGGAGUUCACACAGAACUCCAUCUGCAGCCCUUUUUAUUUUUAUUGAUUGUAUUUUUGGGGUUUUUUUGAGACAGGGUCUCGCUAUGUAGUUCAGGCUGACACUGAGCUCACUAUGUAGCCCAGGCUGGCCUCAAACUCACAGUGAUCCUCGUCCCUCAGCCUCUCAGGCAUGCAACACCACGCCCGGCUUUAUUUUUUAUUUUGAGACAGGGUCUCUUUAAGUUACCCAAGCUGGGAUCAAAUUUGUGACCUUCCUGCCUCAGCCUCCUGGAGUGCGGGGAUCACAGGCGCAUGUGCUGCAUCCACGCCCAGCCGGCCUGGCCGAGAGCUGAUUCUCUCCGCUUGCGUUUAUCAAGCGUAGUGCCCCAGGCCUUGUGCGGAGCAGCGCCUGCCGUGUGAGCCCCCGUUGUGAGGAAAGGGGCGGACACAGUGUCAGGCCCUGGGGUUCCCCAGCCAGAGGCCUGGGCUUUGGCAGGCUGAGGCGGGAGGAUCCUGUUUGAGACUAUCCUGGGCAACUGAGGGGGACGCUGUUUCAAAUAAUAAUAAAUUAUAAUAAUAAUAAUAAGAAGAAGAAAUAUAAAAGGCCGGGACGGAGCUCAGCGGCAGAGCCCUUGCCUGCUGUGUGUGCAGCCCGGUCCAGGCUCUGAGACUGCUAAAUAACUGCGUAAGAAAAUGAGUAAGUGUGAGACACCAAGCGCCUAGGCCAGGCAUGAAGACGAGCACUGUCUUGCGAAAGGUCCCCGCUGCUGUCGCGUCCCGGCUGGGGAGGGCUUCUGUGGGGCAACCACACACUGGUGUGACUAUGCCUCGUGCUUACGCCGCUGAACCUACAGCUGGCUCGAGCGCUAGGUUUUAUGAUGAAUACAUCGCACUACAGUUCCAAAAAAAGGCCAAGC
Molecule: long non-coding RNA, 2025 nt
Filed under: Chinchilla lanigera (long-tailed chinchilla)
Lineage: Eukaryota; Metazoa; Chordata; Mammalia; Rodentia; Chinchillidae
Description: lncRNA (ENSCLAG00000022517.1)
Source: RNAcentral